AUACCUUUCUCGGCCUUUUGGCUAAGAUCAAGUGUAGUAUCUGUUCUUAUCAGUUUAAUAUCUGAUAGUCCGAGCCUACGGGUUCGGGGGGCAAACUUAUAGGUAGGUAUAUGCUUGCCUUGAUAUUAAUUUUUUUAUAGGGGAAGGGGUCCUUAAUAUAGUAGCUUGCUACUUAGGAUUCCUUAUGCGUCACCCUAA
Molecule: small nuclear RNA, 198 nt
Filed under: Corchorus capsularis
Lineage: Eukaryota; Viridiplantae; Streptophyta; Magnoliopsida; Malvales; Malvaceae
Description: snRNA U2
Rfam family: U2 spliceosomal RNA
About the family: U2 is a small nuclear RNA (snRNA) component of the spliceosome (involved in pre-mRNA splicing).
Source: Rfam by way of RNAcentral